GAAGUUGUUACUGGGUUAUUACUGGAACAAUUGAAUAGAUCGACUGCCUCUGUGUUAUGGUUAAAUGUGAACUGCAUAGCCCCCGUGAAGUUGAAAAUCUGUGGGCAACCACCGUCGAACAAACUCUCAUCGGCAACGGAAAGCUCGAACUCUUUUUGGCCGCAGAAACUGGGUUUGCCGAUGCUACUACCCCAAAAUGGGUAAGUGAUGUUCGGGAACAACACCCGACGGUUCAGAUCCGCAUCUCAGAGGUGAUAGGCACAUCUCAUACUGUUGAUCAGCAGAGAAGCACGACCGGAAGCUAGCUACGGAGAAGACAGCGAAGGUGAUGAGGAGCGGAGGAGACAUGGAAGCUGGGUUUGACGAAGACUAACAACAGAAAAGUCCUUUUUUGAUCUGUUGAGAGGAUUUGGAGACUUUUUCUUUUUUAAACGUCUAAUUUUUUUACUAAUCGACAAAACGAUAAGGCUUCACCUUC
This is a long non-coding RNA of Brassica napus (rape), 478 nucleotides long. RefSeq lists it as uncharacterized. The record is from RefSeq and is a predicted model, not a curated record. The transcript is spliced from 2 exons. Lineage: Eukaryota; Viridiplantae; Streptophyta; Magnoliopsida; Brassicales; Brassicaceae.